RNAcentral lists this ribosomal RNA (492 nucleotides) under uncultured bacterium. RNAcentral describes it as "partial 16S ribosomal RNA". It matches the Rfam family "Bacterial small subunit ribosomal RNA", at positions 29 to 507 of the family's 1533-position model. The record is from RNAcentral.
AACGAACGCUGGCGGUAGGCCUAACACAUGCAAGUCGAACGACAGCACAGUAAGAGCUUGCUCUUACGGGUGGCGCGCGGCGGACGGGUGAGGAAUACAUCGGAAUAUACUCCUUCGUGGGGGAUAACGUAGGGUAAUGUACGCUAAUACCGCAUACGACCUACGGGUGUAAGCAGGGGUUCUUCGGACUUUGUGCUAGUGAAUGAGCCGAUGUCGGAUUCGCUAGAUGGCGGGGUAAAGGCGCACCAAGGCGACGAUCCGUAGCUGGUCUGAGCGGAUGAUCCGCCACAGGGGUACUGAGACACUGAGCAGACUCCGACGUGAGGCAGCAGUGGGGAUUAUUCGGCAAUGGGCGCAAGCCUGAUCCAGCCAUAGCGCGUGAGUGAAGAAGGCCUUCGGGUUGUAAAGCCCGUUUGUUGGGAAAGAAAAGCGGCAGGUUAAUACCCCGCUGUUCCGCCGGUACCCAAGGAAUAAGCACCGGCUAACUUCGUG